GUGGGGAAUAUUGGACAAUGGGCGAAAGCCUGAUCCAGCAAUGCCGCGUGAGUGAUGAAGGCCUUAGGGUUGUAAAGCUCUUUUACCCGGGAAGAUAAUGACUGUACCGGGAGAAUAAGCCCCGGCUAACUCCGUGCCAGCAGCCGCGGUAAUACGGAGGGGGCUAGCGUUGUUCGGAAUUACUGGGCGUAAAGCGCACGUAGGCGGUUUUGUAAGUUAGAGGUGAAAGCCUGGGGCUCAACCCCAGAAUUGCCUUUAAGACUGCAUCACUUGAACGUCGGAGAGGUGAGUGGAAGUCCGAGUGUAGAGGUGAAAUUCGUAGAUAUUCGGAAGAACACCAGUGGCGAAGGCGGCUCACUGGACGACUGUUGACGCUGAGGUGCGAAAGCGUGGGGAGCAAACAGGAUUAGAAACCCUGGUAGUCC
This 425-nucleotide ribosomal RNA is filed under the name uncultured bacterium. RNAcentral's name for it is "partial 16S ribosomal RNA". It matches the Rfam family "Bacterial small subunit ribosomal RNA", at positions 354 to 796 of the family's 1533-position model. The record is from RNAcentral.